UGCCCACACAUUGAGCUUCCUUCUACCUAUACAAAGCCCAAGUCUUUCCUUCACUUUCACGUUCUUGUCAAAUUGGGCAGAGGGAAAGUAAACCUCGUUCAGCUCCUCCCUUCCACGUUGCCAGCAUGCAUAUGGCCAUUACUCCAAGAACAUCACUCCAGACCUUCAAAAGGGAGAGUCCCAAACCAGAGGUCGAUGUCCACCCUCCUCUUCUCGCCCUUUCUCUCUUUACUGGGCACAUCAGUGUGUUUGCAUGCCUCGAAACUCCUAGUUAGGGACCUCCGAUCAAAAAACUUUCUUCAUCAAAGUUGUUCGUCUACGUCUCCUUUAUCUAGUCUCCAAAUUUCAGCUCCAUCGGAGACGUUUUGAGACCUGUACAUCUCUCGAAGCAGAAGAUGUUCGGAAGCGAGCCUGUUCCGGAUUUCUGCUUGAAUUUCCUUUCUUGCUCUAUCCGAAUCCCCCGCAUCUUGUUUGAGACUGAUACCAACAGUUGAUUGAGCGAACUUCUUGGCCUGUGGCUGGACUCGAUCCAAUCAGCUCCCUCAGCUCUCUUUCCUGUUGAAACCCUCAAGAAAAACUCACCUUUUUUAUUAGUCUUUGGAUCUUGUGAAGUGGUGGUUGCUACAAGGUUGCAUUGAGGCCAAGUGCUGCAAGAGAAAGCUCGAGUUCCAGGUAGGGGAUGCCUUUAACUCUAUCUAUGCUUUUCUUGCAUAUACUAUGUUUUAUAUGAGGCCUCUUGCAUGGUUUUUGGAAAUUAUCUGUUUUACAAUUGAAAUGGUUUGCGUGGAUUGGAUUGAUGUGUUGGCAAUUGAUGGGGAUGUAAGGAGAGGUCAGUUCCUCCUUGAGCCACCGGUGGUGGGCAGUGUGCACCAUGCCCUUGUUAUUGAAUUACCCCCUUUGUCUCUAGCCUUGUGAUUAUUGAAUUCCGGAAAGUGAUUGGCUAGAUGGACGGUUAUGAUGAAAGUUGUGGAAGAAUAUCAAUUGCCGUGGGAUUGUAGUUACGUGGUGACGAUCACGUGGAAUCGCAAACCGGUUUUUAUCUAUUACUUUUUCUCAAACCGAUAACUCAUAUUUUUAAACUUAGAAAUGGGGGCGGGCAUGGGCAAUGACUGGAUGUAGGAGCCUAACCCCUACUUUAGUUUGUUUUGCAGGAUGUUGUUGUCGAAGCUUGGGUACGGAGGAUAAUCCUUGGAGGCCAAAAUUUGUUUUGUUUAAAGUUUAUUUUAUUUGGCUUGUUUGAUUUCGUUAAAUUUUUGUAACGUUAUGUAUGGUUGAUGAUGUGUGUGAUUGCUUACCACCAAAGUGGAACCCUAGGGUUAGAACCUCCAUUUGAGUUUAGGUCCUAGUGGGCUAGACCUAGAAGACUCACGUAAAUUACCUUUCAAUGAACCUAAUGUAAACUUGGGCUAAGAACUAAAAAAUGACGUAGGUUCUAAACUCAACACAACACCACCUUCCUUUCC
Molecule: long non-coding RNA, 1463 nt
Organism: Rosa rugosa (rugosa rose)
Lineage: Eukaryota; Viridiplantae; Streptophyta; Magnoliopsida; Rosales; Rosaceae
Exons: 3
Source: RefSeq, a predicted model, not a curated record